CAGUCACGUCAUAUUGAAACACCAGUUCUCAUACAUUCACUAAAGUUAAGCAAAAUUGAGCCUGGUCAAUACCUAGAUGGGUGACCACUUGGGAAUACCAGUUGC
Acanthosepion pharaonis is the source of this 105-nucleotide non-coding RNA. The record is from the annotation of a GenBank genome assembly. Lineage: Eukaryota; Metazoa; Mollusca; Cephalopoda; Sepiida; Sepiidae.